Molecule: long non-coding RNA, 436 nt
Filed under: Salmo salar (Atlantic salmon)
Lineage: Eukaryota; Metazoa; Chordata; Actinopteri; Salmoniformes; Salmonidae
Description: lncRNA (ENSSSAG00000101480.1)
Source: RNAcentral
UGUUGUUCUCCCAGCAUGUUGUUCUCCCAGCAUGUUGUUCUCCCAGCAUGUUGUUCUCCCAGCAGGUUGUUCUCCCAGCAGGUUGUUCUCCCAGCAUGUUGUUCUCCCAGCAUGUUGUUCUCCCAGCAUGUUGUUAUCCCAGCAUGUUGUUCUCCAAGCAUGUUGUUCUCCCAGCAGGUUGUUCUCCCAGCAUGUUGUUCUCCCAGCAUGUUGUUCUCCCAGCAUGUUGUUAUCCCUGUUGUUCUCCCAGCAUGUAGUUCUCCCAGCAUGUAGUUCUCCCAGCAUGUUGUUCUCCCAGCAUGUUGUUCUCCCAGCAUGUUGUUCUCCCAGCAGGUUGUUCUCCCAGCAGGUUGUUCUCCCAGCAGGUUGUUCUCCCAGCAUGUUGUUCUCCCAGCAUGUUAUUCUCCCAGAAUGUUGUUCUCCUGGCAUGUUGUUC